GGCUUUUUGCUUUCAUAGAGGGGUUUGGAAAACUGGAGGUUUGGGAAGCUGAGUUUGGGGUGUGCAUCCAGCUGCUGCUGCUUCCUGAGCCCAGCACAAGCUGUGUCUACAACUGUGGAGGUAAAUCCAGGGCCUGCAUUCGACUGGUGAGCACCAACUGAGUAUCCAUCACCUCCCAGAAGUAUUAGUAGGAGGGAAAAGCAGAGUCCUCUGUUAAGCAACCUCAACAGCAAUGCCAAACCAACGGUUUGCCUUCCACUCCGAAUUCCUCCCUGCAACUCUCCUGGCACAACCAUGGCAAGUGACCCUGGCAAGCGAUGGGCACAGGAUUGGUGGGUUACCUGGCACCAGCACCCCUUCUUCCGCUAGCUGCAUCCACCACUGCCCUUUGCAACACAGAGCCCGGACACCCGGGAAACAUCUGGAAAAGAGCUGGCUCCUUUCUGCUUUCCCUGUGCUGCUGGUUGGGCACUGUUGUGUGGAGACUGUGCAGAGGAGCCGCCUGCAGUGACUGGAGCCAUCUGUGCAACAGUUAUAAACAGCUAAUUAUACUGUCAAAUAGUACUUUCACAUUUAAGUAAUUAUUGUAAUUGCUGGUGGGAUAUCAUAGUCACACUGAAGAGAAGAGGUGAUCUGUGAGAUGCUGUCUAUUAAGACACAGGAUGACAACAUGGAGAGCUGCCCAUCACUGGAGAUAUUGCAACUUUGGAAGAUGUGCCCAACUACGCUCAUUGCCAGUUUGUAAUCACGAAGCUUUUCUUCAAGCUUUUAUAAUGCAACAUAAAGCAUAAAACCUGGAUGUGCCCCUUCUGCCUGGCCUGUAAGAGGUAACCUUGCGGUCCCUGCAAGAACACUGACCUGCCAUCUUCCAUGAAAGCGCAUCACUGCAUUU
Molecule: long non-coding RNA, 892 nt
Organism: Pezoporus occidentalis (night parrot)
Lineage: Eukaryota; Metazoa; Chordata; Aves; Psittaciformes; Psittacidae
Exons: 2
Source: RefSeq, a predicted model, not a curated record